GAUGAACGCUGGCGGCGUGCCUAAUACAUGCAAGUCGAGCGAACAGAUAAGGAGCUUGCUCCUUUGACGUUAGCGGCGGACGGGUGAGUAACACGUGGGUAACCUACCUAUAAGACUGGGAUAACUUCGGGAAACCGGAGCUAAUACCGGAUAAUAUUUCGAACCGCAUGGUUCGAUAGUGAAAGAUGGUUUUGCUAUCACUCAUAGAUGGACCCGCGCCGUAUUAGCUAGUUGGUAAGGUAACGGCUUACCAAGGCGACGAUACGUAGCCGACCUGAGAGGGUGAUCGGCCACACUGGAACUGAGACACGGUCCAGACUCCUACGGGAGGCAGCAGUAGGGAAUCUUCCGCAAUGGGCGAAAGCCUGACGGAGCAACGCCGCGUGAGUGAUGAAGGUCUUCGGAUCGUAAAACUCUGUUAUUAGGGAAGAACAUACGUGUAAGUAACUGUGCACGUCUUGACGGUACCUAAUCAGAAAGCCACGGCUAACUACGUG
Molecule: ribosomal RNA, 497 nt
Filed under: uncultured bacterium
Lineage: Bacteria
Description: partial 16S ribosomal RNA
Rfam family: Bacterial small subunit ribosomal RNA
Source: RNAcentral